GCAACCUGCCCUCGGAUGGGGAAUAACCACUCGAAAGAGUGGCUAAUACCGCAUAUUGUCUUCUGACCGCAUGGCCGGAAGAUGAAAGCCUUCGGGCGUCUGAGGAUGGGCCUGCGUCGGAUUAGGUAGUUGGUGAGGUAACGGCUCACCAAGCCUUCGAUCCGUAGCUGGUCUGAGAGGAUGAUCAGCCACACUGGCACUGAGACACGGGCCAGACUCCUACGGGAGGCAGCAGUGAGGAAUAUUGCGCAAUGGGCGAAAGCCUGACGCAGCCACGCCGCGUGAAGGAUGACACCCCUCUGGGGCGUAAACUUCUUUUGUGU
Molecule: ribosomal RNA, 323 nt
Filed under: uncultured Sphingobacteriia bacterium
Lineage: Bacteria; Pseudomonadati; Bacteroidota; Sphingobacteriia
Description: bacterial SSU rRNA
Rfam family: Bacterial small subunit ribosomal RNA
Source: RNAcentral